AAUCAACGCUGGCGGCGUGCCUAACACAUGCAAGUCGAACGCGAAAGCCCCGCAAGGGGCAAGUAGAGUGGCAAACGGGUGAGUAACACGUGGGUGACCUGCCUUCGAGCGGGGGAUAACGUCCCGAAAGGGACGCUAAUACCGCAUAACAUCCUGCCUUUGAAGAGGUGGAGAUCAAAGCUGGGGGAUCGCAAGACCCGGCACUUGAAGAGGGGCCCGCGUCUGAUUAGCUAGUUGGGGGUAAUGGCCUACCAAGGCAACGAUCAGUAUCCGGCCUGAGAGGGCGGACGGACACACUGGGACUGAGACACGGCCCAGACUCCUACGGGAGGCAGCAGUGGGGAAUUGUUCGCAAUGGGCGCAAGCCUGACGACGCAACGCCGCGUGGAGAUGAAGAUUUUCGGAUCGUAAACUCCUGUCGAAUGGGACAACAGAUUACGGGUUAACAGCCUGUAGUCCUGACGGUACCGUUAAA
Molecule: ribosomal RNA, 475 nt
Filed under: uncultured bacterium
Lineage: Bacteria
Description: bacterial SSU rRNA
Rfam family: Bacterial small subunit ribosomal RNA
Source: RNAcentral